RNAcentral lists this ribosomal RNA (600 nucleotides) under uncultured Pseudomonadota bacterium. RNAcentral's name for it is "bacterial SSU rRNA". It matches the Rfam family "Bacterial small subunit ribosomal RNA", at positions 28 to 606 of the family's 1533-position model. The record is from RNAcentral. Lineage: Bacteria; Pseudomonadati; Pseudomonadota.
AACGAACGCUGGCGGCGUGCCUAACACAUGCAAGUCGAGCGGGAAAGCCCGCAAGGGUGAGUACAGCGGCGCACGGGUGCGUAACACGUGGGUAAUCUGCCCAGAAGCCCGGAAUAACCUUCCGAAAGGAAAGCUAAUACCGGAUGAGACCACGGGGACUUCGGUUCUCGCGGGAAAAGGUGGCCUCUGCAUGCAAGCUAUCACUUCUGGAUGAGCCCGCGGCCCAUCAGCUCGUUGGCGGGGUAAUGGCCCACCAAGGCUACGACGGGUAGCUGGUCUGAGAGGACGAUCAGCCACACUGGAACUGAGACACGGUCCAGACUCCUACGGGAGGCAGCAGUGGGGAAUCUUGCGCAAUGGGCGAAAGCCUGACGCAGCAACGCCGCGUGUGUGAUGAAGGUCUUCGGAUCGUAAAGCACUGUCGGGAGGGACGAAUAAGGGCCGGGUGAACAAUCCGGUCCGAUGACGGUACCUCCAAAGGAAGCACCGGCUAACUCUGUGCCAGCAGCCGCGGUAAUACAGAGGGUGCAAGCGUUGUUCGGAAUUAUUGGGCGUAAAGCGCGUAUAGGCGGCUCUGCAAGUCGGAUGUGAAAGCCCUCG